AUGGCGCCCAAGCGGAAGGGUGGCAACGGCCGGAAGAAGACCGUCCUCCUCUCGAUCGUCAAGGAGGACGCCCGCCAUGUAUGCUUCUCAAAGCGCAAGCGGGGCCUGUUCAGCAAGACCAGCGCGCUGUCCCUGCUCACGGGCGCCCAGGUGGCCGCCGUCAUCUUCUCGCCCGGCGGCAAGGUCUUCUCCUUCGGCCACCCCUCCGUCGACGCCGUCGUCAACCGCUUCAUGGCGGGGGACGCCGCGGUGGUCCAGGCCGCCGCCGACGACAACGGGUUGCAGACGCUGCAGCUGCAGCACGGCGACAUGCGCACCGAGCUGGCGGACCAGAAGAAGCGGAAGAAGCGCGCUGAGGAGGCCCUGGACAAGGAGCGCGCUGGGGGGGACCAGAUUGCCUCGUGGCUCCACCCCGACGUGCGCGACAUGGGGCAUGACGACAUGGCGGCCUUCGCCGCCGCGCUCUUGCAGGUCCAGGCCGCCGUCUCCGGACGCGCCAACCAGGUUCUCGUCGAGGCCUUUCGCGUCGACAUCAGCCGUAUGCUCCAGGUGCCCCCGCCGCCGCCGCCUCCGCUCCAGCUCUUCGGUGCCAGCACCAUUGAGUUCGGUAGUAGCAGCAGCAGCGCCAACGCCGGGAUGGAGAUGCAACAGAUGCAGAUGGUUAUGGAGAUGCCACCGCCGCCUGACUUCCCCGCAGUGAUGGGGAUGCAGCAGUUGGUUAUGGAGAUGCCACCACAGCCAAGGUUCGAGGCAGCGAUGGAGAUGACGCCGCUGCAGGAGUUCGUCGCCGGGAUGCAGAAGGUGCAGCGGCAGGGGCUCGGGCCGAACGCCGACUUCCCCUACUGA
Molecule: ribosomal RNA, 846 nt
Filed under: Triticum aestivum (bread wheat)
Lineage: Eukaryota; Viridiplantae; Streptophyta; Magnoliopsida; Poales; Poaceae
Description: partial small subunit ribosomal RNA
Source: RNAcentral